This 1260-nucleotide unclassified non-coding RNA is filed under the name uncultured fungus. Its description in RNAcentral is "sequence contains 18S rRNA gene, ITS1, 5.8S rRNA gene, ITS2, 28S rRNA gene". The stretch from base 393 to 1260 matches the Rfam family "Eukaryotic large subunit ribosomal RNA", at positions 1 to 961 of the family's 3401-position model. The record is from RNAcentral. Lineage: Eukaryota; Fungi.
AGAUGGAUCAUUCAUUACAAUCUAAUACCGCAUUGAUCAGAUUGUCCUGCAAUAACAAUUCUCGCCGAACAUCAUUAUAUUUUAAUAUUCGAAAUUCAUUUUCAGAAUCCUUCUGUGGUGGAUGUCUUGGAUUCCUCAUCGAAGAAGAACGCAGCAAAACGCGAAACGCGGGGUGAUCUGCAAUUCUUGUGAACCACUUGGUUUUUGAAUGCGAAAGGUACCUCGAUUCAUCGGGGUAUGUUCGUGUCAGAGUGUCUUCCUUUGUUGUUCUACGAUAGUGAACGACGUAAACAAUGACCGGAAUUCGGCGUUUUGCUUCUUAUUCCUAGGCAUUGAUAUUCGCAUGUCAAUCAUGGUGAAACGCUAUGAAAAGAAGACUACUUAACAUCUCGGCACCUGACAUCGAGCGUGACAACCCGCUGAAUUUAAGCAUAUUAGUCAGCGGAGGAAAAGAAACUUUCUAGAAUCCUCCUAGUAUUGGCGAAUGAAACGAGGACAGCUCAGUGUGGUAAACGUAGUAUCCCAUUACUACGUAUUGUAGCACGGCUCGUAGCCGCAGGUUUUUACGAUGUAAUCUCUUUGAAAUGAGAAACCGUAGAGGGUGAUAGUCCCUGUAACGGUCGUAGACUCCCUGGUUUGGUUGCGUAGCGAACAGAGUCGCACUCCUUGGAAGUGGAGUGUCAAUCGGCGGUAAACUUCGCCUAAAGCUAAAUAUUUGAGGAAUACCGAUAGCGCACAAGUACCGUGAGGGAAAGAUGAAAACAACUUUGGAAAGAGAGUUAAAAGAAGCUGAAACCACAGAAGGGGAAGGAGAAAGGACGACAUACGUAGUGAGGGCGCGAAGUUUUCGCUUCGGGUGUUCCUCAUUUCCGUACUGCGGGUGCUUGAUGGUUUUCCUACUGUGAUUCUACGGAUUUACAUUCUGGUUAACCGGUCGAGUAUAAGUGUUAUCACGUUUCCGCUGUUGUUGCUUUUCUCACCCGUCUUGAAACACGGACCAAGGAGUCUAAAUCUUGUGCGAGUCAUCUGGUUUUAAGCCAGACGGCGUAAUGAAAGUGAUUGUUGCUAUCAGCGACGUCCAUCUUUCGAUGAGAGCGAGCAUGGGGUUUAGGACCCGAAAGAUGGUGAACUAUGCUUGAGUAGGGUGAAGCCAGGGGAAACUUUGGUGGAAGCUCAUAGCGAUACUGACGUGCAAAUCGUUCGUCAAACUUGAGUAUAGGGGCGAAAGACUAAUCGAACCAUCUAGUAGCUGGUUCCCUU